RNAcentral lists this ribosomal RNA (460 nucleotides) under uncultured bacterium. RNAcentral's name for it is "partial 16S ribosomal RNA". It matches the Rfam family "Bacterial small subunit ribosomal RNA", at positions 338 to 795 of the family's 1533-position model. The record is from RNAcentral.
CCUACGGGAGGCAGCAGUGAGGAAUAUUGGUCAAUGGACGAGAGUCUGAACCAGCCAAGUAGCGUGAAGGAUGACUGCCCUAUGGGUUGUAAACUUCUUUUAUAUGGGAAUAAAAUGUUCCACGUGUGGGAUUUUGUAUGUACCAUAUGAAUACGGAUCGGCUAACUCCGUGCCAGCAGCCGCGGUAAUACGGAGGAUCCGAGCGUUAUCCGGAUUUAUUGGGUUUAAAGGGAGCGUAGGUGGAUUGUUAAGUCAGUUGUGAAAGUUUGCGGCUCAACCGUAAAAUUGCAGUUGAAACUGGCAGUCUUGAGUACAGUAGAGGUGGGCGGAAUUCGUGGUGUAGCGGUGAAAUGCUUAGAUAUCACGAAGAACUCCGAUUGCGAAGGCAGUUCACUGGACUGCAACUGACACUGAGGCUCGAAAGUGUGGGUAUCAAACAGGAUUAGAUAUCCCAGUAGUC